RNAcentral lists this ribosomal RNA (568 nucleotides) under uncultured bacterium. RNAcentral's name for it is "partial 16S ribosomal RNA". It matches the Rfam family "Bacterial small subunit ribosomal RNA", at positions 355 to 914 of the family's 1533-position model. The record is from RNAcentral.
UGGGGAAUUUUGGACAAUGGGCGAAAGCCUGAUCCAGCAAUGCCGCGUGUGUGAAGAAGGCCUUCGGGUUGUAAAGCACUUUUGUCCGGAAAGAAAUCCUUGGCUCUAAUACAGUCGGGGGAUGACGGUACCGGAAGAAUAAGCACCGGCUAACUACGUGCCAGCAGCCGCGGUAAUACGUAGGGUGCAAGCGUUAAUCGGAAUUACUGGGCGUAAAGCGUGCGCAGGCGGUUUGCUAAGACCGAUGUGAAAUCCCCGGGCUCAACCUGGGAACUGCAUUGGUGACUGGCAGGCUAGAGUAUGGCAGAGGGGGGUAGAAUUCCACGUGUAGCAGUGAAAUGCGUAGAGAUGUGGAGGAAUACCGAUGGCGAAGGCAGCCCCCUGGGCCAAUACUGACGCUCAUGCACGAAAGCGUGGGGAGCAAACAGGAUUAGAUACCCUGGUAGUCCACGCCCUAAAACGAUGUCAACUAGUUGUUGGGGAUUCAUUUCCUUAGUAACGUAGCUAACGCGUGAAGUUGACCGCCUGGGGAGUACGGUCGCAAGAUUAAAACUUAAAUGGAAUUGAC